AUUGAACGCUGGCGGCAUGCCUUACACAUGCAAGUCGAACGGCAGCACGGGAGCAAUCCUGGUGGCGAGUGGCGAACGGGUGAGUAAUAUAUCGGAACGUGCCUAGUCGUGGGGAUAACGUAGCGAAAGCUACGCUAAUACCGCAUACGAUCUAUGGAUGAAAGCGGGGGAUCGCAAGACCUCGCGCGAUUGGAGCGGCCGAUAUCAGAUUAGGUAGUUGGUGAGGUAAAGGCUCACCAAGCCGACGAUCUGUAGCUGGUCUGAGAGGACGACCAGCCACACUGGGACUGAGACACGGCCCAGACUCCUACGGGAGGCAGCAGUGGGGAAUUUUGGGACAAUGGGCGCAAGCCUGAUCCAGCAAUGCCGCGUGCAGGAUG
This 380-nucleotide ribosomal RNA is filed under the name uncultured bacterium. RNAcentral describes it as "bacterial SSU rRNA". It matches the Rfam family "Bacterial small subunit ribosomal RNA", at positions 30 to 410 of the family's 1533-position model. The record is from RNAcentral.